GCGGGUAUGGCGGAACUGGCAGACGCUAUGGCCUUAGAAGCCGUUGGGAGAAAUCCCGUGGGGGUUCAAAUCCCUCUACCCGCACCA
RNAcentral lists this transfer RNA (87 nucleotides) under Candidatus Yanofskybacteria bacterium CG10_big_fil_rev_8_21_14_0_10_37_15. RNAcentral's name for it is "tRNA-Leu". It matches the Rfam family "tRNA". Rfam says of the family: Transfer RNA (tRNA) molecules are approximately 80 nucleotides in length. The record is from RNAcentral. Lineage: Bacteria; Candidatus Yanofskyibacteriota.